This 67-nucleotide transfer RNA is filed under the name Salmo salar (Atlantic salmon). It matches the Rfam family "tRNA", at positions 10 to 63 of the family's 71-position model. From Rfam's summary of the family: Transfer RNA (tRNA) molecules are approximately 80 nucleotides in length. Their secondary structure includes four short double-helical elements and three loops (D, anti-codon, and T loops). The record is from Rfam by way of RNAcentral. Lineage: Eukaryota; Metazoa; Chordata; Actinopteri; Salmoniformes; Salmonidae.
GCUCAGUUGGUAGAGCGUGGUGUUUGCAACGCGUUUGCAACGCCAGGGUUGUGGGUUCGAUUCCCAC